This 469-nucleotide ribosomal RNA is filed under the name uncultured bacterium. RNAcentral's name for it is "partial 16S ribosomal RNA". It matches the Rfam family "Bacterial small subunit ribosomal RNA", at positions 28 to 507 of the family's 1533-position model. The record is from RNAcentral.
GAUGAACGCUGGCGGCGCGCCUAACACAUGCAAGUCGAACGGUUACAGCACCUUUUCGGUGUAUAUAAAAUGGCGACCGGCUGACUAAUACGUAGGCCAUCUGCCAUCCUCUUCGGGGUAGCGGCGGGAAACCGAGGAUAAUACCCGAUACUUCGAAGUCGCCGCAUGACGACACUGAGAAAACUUUUGCGGAAAUGGAUGUGCGCGCGGCAUGCUAGCUUGUUGGUCGGGUAGAGGGCUACCAAGGCCAUGAGGGGUAGCGGGGAUGCGAGAUGGAACAGCGAGAUUGGGAAUGAGACACGGCGCAGACGCAGAGGGGAGGCAGCAGUGGGGAACGUGGCACAGUGGGCGAAAGGCUGCGUCAGCGACGCCGGGUGUAUGAAGAAUGCCUUCGGGUUGUAAACCGAUAUCAGCAGGGACGAGGCGAUAAGUGACGGUACCUUAAGAAGAAGCCCCGGCUAACUACGUG